RNAcentral lists this ribosomal RNA (460 nucleotides) under uncultured bacterium. Its description in RNAcentral is "partial 16S ribosomal RNA". It matches the Rfam family "Bacterial small subunit ribosomal RNA", at positions 338 to 795 of the family's 1533-position model. The record is from RNAcentral.
CCUACGGGAGGCAGCAGUGAGGAAUAUUGGUCAAUGGUCGGGAGACUGAACCAGCCAAGCCGCGUGAGGGAUGAAGGUCCAGAGUAUCGUAAACCUCUUUUGUCAGGGAACAAAGGCGGGGACGUGUCCCCGGAUGCGUGUACCUGAAGAAAAAGCAUCGGCUAACUCCGUGCCAGCAGCCGCGGUAAUACGGAGGAUGCGAGCGUUAUCCGGAUUUAUUGGGUUUAAAGGGUGCGCAGGUGGUCUGUUAAGUCAGCGGUCAAAGCCCGGGGCUCAACCCCGGGCCGGCCGUUGAACCUGGCAGUCUAGAGUUGGAGAGAAGUAGGCGGAAUGCGCGGUGUAGCGGUGAAAUGCAUAGAUAUCGCGCAGAACUCCGAUUGCGAAGGCAGCAUGCCGGCUCCAGACUGACGCUGAGGCACGAAAGCGUGGGUAUCGAACAGGAUUAGAUACCCUUGUAGUC